This 392-nucleotide ribosomal RNA is filed under the name uncultured Alphaproteobacteria bacterium. Its description in RNAcentral is "bacterial SSU rRNA". It matches the Rfam family "Bacterial small subunit ribosomal RNA", at positions 370 to 779 of the family's 1533-position model. The record is from RNAcentral. Lineage: Bacteria; Pseudomonadati; Pseudomonadota; Alphaproteobacteria.
AAUGGGGGCAACCCUGAUCCAGCCAUGCCGCGUGAGUGAAGAAGGCCUUAGGGUUGUAAAUCUCUUUCAAUAGUGAAGGUAAUGACGGUAACUAUAGAAGAAGCUCCGGCUAAAUUCGUGCCAGCAGCCGCGGUAAUACGAAUGGAGCAAGCGUUGUUCGGAAUCACUGGGCUUAAAGCGUGCGUAGGCGGACUUGAAAGUCGGGAGUGAAAUCCCAGGGCUCAACCCUGGAACUGCUUCCGAAACUCCAAGUCUAGAAUCCGGUAGAGGUCAGGAGAAUUCCUAGUGUAGAGGUGAAAUUCGCAGAUAUUAGGAGGAAUACCAGUGGCGUAGGCGCCUGACUGGGCCGGUAUUGACGCUGAGGUACGAAAGCGUGGGGAGCAAACAGGAUU